AUGCCAGGAGAACGUGUGUGUCGUGCGAGUGCAGGUUUCCAAAUAAUCAAAACUUUUACCUCAAGCCUGCCCUGGAGGCCUGCACUUUGCCCACGACGCACCCGGAAUCGAGUUAUCCUUUUUCAUGUACAUAGAAAUACUUUAUUUAUUAACUCCAGUGGUCACUUAAAAAAAAAUGUAUCCUGCGUUUUGAAGAGCAGCAGACAAAAUGUGCUAUGGACCUUUGAUAGUUUCCUGUUCUGGUGCUUAUUCCUUGUACGUGGAUUCAGUUUUGGGGGAAUGGGAUUGUUUGGGAUUCUUUGGGUUUCUUUUUGUAUAGACUUUGGACUUACAGGUAUUGGUAACUUCCAGAUAAAGCAUGUUUUAUUUGUAUAUUCCUAGUCUUCUCCCAUGUCCGUCUUUUUCUCUGUAUCUUGUUUUAAAGUAGAACAGUUUGGAAAAAAAAUAAAGCAACAAAGACCCAUUUAAGAGCAGGUGCCACUUCUGUACUUGACACCAUAACAGGCCUGGGAGCAGAAGUGUGUGCUGAGAUACACUUUAUUGACAGAUGCAAUUUAAAAGGAAACAUAUGUACACCUUUACAACUUGCUCCUUCUGGGUCCUCACUAGCAUCAUUUGGGGCAUCACAGAAUGAAUGUGAAAGGGCCAGACUGACCA
This 657-nucleotide long non-coding RNA is filed under the name Naja naja (Indian cobra). RNAcentral describes it as "lncRNA (ENSNNAG00000009622.1)". Lineage: Eukaryota; Metazoa; Chordata; Lepidosauria; Squamata; Elapidae. The record is from RNAcentral.